Non-coding RNA from Macaca mulatta (Rhesus monkey), 10210 nucleotides. The record is from RefSeq and is a predicted model, not a curated record. NCBI's taxonomy places the organism in Eukaryota, Metazoa, Chordata, Mammalia, Primates, Cercopithecidae.
CCAGUGCCCGCCUGCGCCGCCAGGGUCUCCAGCACCGCACCGUCCAGCCCGCCGGAUCCCGCCGUCUGUCAUGGCGGCCCCCAUCCUGAAAGAUGUAGUGGCCUAUGUUGAAGUGUGGUCAUCCAAUGGAACGGAAAAUUAUUCAAAGACAUUUACAACACAGCUUGUGGAUAUGGGAGCAAAGGUUUCAAAAACUUUUAACAAACAAGUAACUCACGUUAUCUUCAAAGAUGGCUACCAGAGCACUUGGGACAAAGCUCGAAAGAGAGGCGUAAAGCUCGUUUCAGUCCUCUGGGUUGAAAAAUGCAGGACAGCUGGAGCACACAUUGAUGAAUCGUUGUUCCCUGCAGCUAAUACGAAUGAACACUUACCAAGCCUAAUUAAAAAAAAACGUAAAUGUAUGCAGCCCAAAGAUUUUAAUUUUAAAACACCAGAAAAUGAUAAGAGAUUUCAGAAGAAAUUUGAGAAAAUGGCUAAAGAGCUACAAAGGCAAAAAACAAGUCUAGAUGAUGAUGUACCUAUUCUCUUAUUUGAAUCCAAUGGUUCAUUAACAUAUAGUCCUACAAUUAAAAUUAAUAGUAGUCACCACAGCGCAAUGGAGAAGAGAUUACAAGAGAUGAAGGAGAAAAGGGAAAAUCUUUCCCCCACCUCUUCCCAAAUGAUUCAACAGUCUCAUGAUAAUCCAAGUAACUCUCUGUGUGAAGCACCUUUGAACAUUUCACAUGAUACUUUGUGUUCAGAUGAAUCCAUUGCUGGUGGCUUACACUCGUCUUUUGAUGAUCUUUGUGGAAACUCAGAAUGUGGAAAUCAGGAAAGGAAGUUGGGAGGAUCCAUUAAUGACACUAAAAGUGAUAUGUGUAUUUCUUCACUUGUAUUGAAAACAAAUAAUACUCAUUUAUCACCAUCUUUCGCUCACCUUGAUAAAUCAAGUCCUCAGAAAUUUCUGAGUAAUCUUUCAAAGGAAGAAAUAAACUUGCAAAGAAACAUUGUGGGUAAAAUAGUCACCCCUGACCAAAAGCAGGCUGCAGGUAUGUCUCAGGAGACGUUUGAAGAGAAGUAUCGUUUGUCUCCUACAUUGUCUUCAACAAAAGGCCCCCUUUUGAUACAUUCAAGACCCAGGAGUUCCUCAGUAAAGAGAAAAAGAGUAUCAUAUGGCUUCCAUUCACCUCCAAAGGAAAAAUGCAAGAGAAAGAGGAGCAUCAGGAGAUCUAUCAUGCCGAGGCUGCAGCUGUGUAGGUCAGAAGGCAGCCUGCAGUGCAUGGCGGGACCUGCACUCGAGGCUCUUGGCUGUGGGGAGUCUUCGUAUGAUGACUAUUUUUCACCUGAUAAUCUUAAGGAAAGGAAUUCAGAGAAUCUUCCUCCCGAAUCUCAGCUGCCAUCAAACCCUGCUCAGUUCAGCUGCAGAAGUCUUUCUAAGAAGGAGAGAACAAGCAUAUUUGAAAUGUCUGAUUUUUCCUGCGUUGGUAAAAAACCCAGAACAGUUGACAUUACCAGUUUCACAGCAAAAACCAUCUGCAGUCCUCAGAAAACUGCAAGUGGAGAAGGCUGUGCAACUUUCAGUUGCGUGACUUCUGAGGAAUCCUCUGCCCCUGAAGAAACCUUAAGGUAUUGUAGACAGGCUGGGCCUCAGCAGAAAGAAGACGCAUGGCCAGAGGGCAAUGGCUUUUCUUACACCAUUGAGGACCCUGCUCUUCCAAAAGGACAUGAUGGUGAUUUAACUCCUUUCGAAGGAAUCCUUAAAGAAGUGAAAGAAGCGGUUGGUCUGAAAAGCACACAGGACAAAGGUACCACUUCCAAAAUAUCAAACUCCUCUGAAGGCGAAGCCCCGAGUGAACAUGAGCCACGUUCUGUAGUUGACUGUAACGUGGAGAGGUCUGCAGAAGAAAAGGAAAACUUACCUGGAGGAUACAGUGGAAGUGUUAAAAAUAGACCAACAAGGCGUGAUGUUUUAGAUGGCUCAUGUGACAGCUUUAAGGACCUCAUCAAACCUCAUGAGGAACUGAAGAAAAGUGGGAAAGGCAAAAAGCCAACAAGAACAUUAGUCAUGACAAGCAUGCCAUCUGAAAAGCAGAAUGUCGUCAUCCAGGUUGUGGAUAAAUUGAAAGGCUUUUCAAUUGCACGAGACGUCUGUGAGACCACGACUCAUGUGCUUUCCGGGAAGCCACUUCGCACCCUGAAUGUGCUGCUGGGAAUCGCGCGUGGCUGCUGGGUUCUCUCUUAUGAUUGGGUGCUGUGGUCUUUAGAAUCGGGUCAAUGGAUUUCUGAGGAGCCAUUCGAACUGUCUAAUCACUUCCCUGCAGCUCCUCUGUGCCGAAGGGAGUGCCACUUGUCUGCAGGGCCGUACCGCGGAACCCUCUUUGCCGACCAGCCAGUGAUGUUUGUCUCGCCUGCCAGCAGCCCCCCCGUGGCCAAGCUCUGUGAACUAGUCCACCUGUGCGGAGGCCGGGUCAGCCAAGUCCCCCGCCAGGCCAGCAUCGUCAUCGGGCCCUACAGCGGAAAGAAGAAAGCAACAGUCAAGUAUCUGUCGGAGAAAUGGGUCUUAGAUUCCAUCACCCAGCACAAGGUCUGUGCCUCUGAAAACUACCUAUUGCCACAAUGACAGUGACCUCACUGGCCUGUGGUGACUGCACAGCUGGCAAAACCGUCUUUGGAUAUUCAAGUGAGAAACAAUUGUGAAGAGAAGGAACUGGCGUAUACAAGAUGACUUUUGAUAUCAUGUUUGCCACGCGUUGUGGUGCUUAAGAACUCUCAGGUGACUUUCUGAUGACUGAAUUUGUGUUUCAGAGAAGCUUCGGGCCUUUUUUUUUUUUUUUUUUUUUUUUUUGAGAUGGAUUCUUGCUCUGAUUCCCAGGCUGGAGUGCAAUGGCACAAUCUCGGCUUACUGCAACCUCCACCUCCCGGGUUCAAGCGAUUCUCCUGCCUCAGCCUCCCAAGUAGCUGGGACUACAGGCAUGGGCCACCAUGCCCUGCUAAUUUUUGUAUUUUUAGUAGAGACGGGGUUUCACCAUGUUGGCGAGGCUGGUCUCAAAUGCCUGACCUCAGGUAAUCUGUCAGACCUCUUCUAUAGAAUUCCAGUCUUUGUAUCUUAGUAACGAUCAUAAUUGAAAGGUCACAGAACCUUUGUCAUUAGAACACGGUACUGCCAAAUAACGAAUGGAAAUUCAUUGACAUUAUUUUAUUACUGAGAACAACUAGAGAGCUCUGAAAGUUUCUUGGCUUAGAGUCGAAGAUCUUUAUUAAUACAUUACCUGUUAGGUAGGAAAGACAUUUGACAGUAAGGUGACUUUAGCGGAGAUUCCUCUCUUAAAGUAAUGAAAGGAGAUAGGUAUGGGGGGUGUUAUACAGGAUGAUUGGUGCCAUCUGAGUGUCUUACUUCUGAAAGCCUGCUUUAUGGUGAACAAAGCAUCACCAACAAGGGAUCACAACGUCCAUUGGCCACAUCUUGCCUGCUGUCCUCGAGAGGAAAUUGGCAGCUGGGGCUGAUUCACAGAAACACCGAUUUGUGGCUGAGCACGGCGGCUCACACCUGUAAUCCCCGCCUUUUAGGAGGCCGAGGUGGACAGAUAAUUGAGGUCAGGAGUUCGAGACCAGCCUGGCCAACGUGGCAAAACCCUAUCUCUACUAAAAAUACAAAAAUCAGCUGGGUGUGGUGGCGCACACCUGUGGUCCCAGCUCCUCAGGAGGCCGAGGCAGGAGAAUCGCUUGAACCCAGAAGGCGGAGGUUGUGGUAAGCUGAGGUUGCAGUGAAUCAAGAUUGCUCCACUGCACUCCAGCCUGGACGACAGAGCAACUCUCCAUCUCAGAUAAAUAAAUGAAUAAGAAACACCGAUGUGUCUGUCACCUUCUAAACAAAUGAAAUGCUAGGAAGUCCUAACCAGAGUGAUCAGGCAAGAAUAAGCCAUAAAAGGCAUCCAAAUAGGAAAAGAAGUCAAACUGUCUCUCUUCACUGCCAAUAUGAUUCUAUACCUAGAAAACCCUAAAGACUGCCAAAAGGCUCCUGGAACCAAUAAACGACUUCAGUAAAGUUUCAGGAUAGAAAAUCCAUGUACAAAAACCAGCAUUUCCAUACACAAUAACAUUCAAGCUGAGCACCAAAUCAAGAACGCAAUCCCAUUUCCAAUAGCCAUGGAAUGAAAUACCUAGGAGCACAUGUAACCAAGGACACAAAGGAUCUCUACAAGGAGAACCAUAAACGAGAUGCUGAGUCCCAGCGAGGUCGGAGGUGCCACUGAGCCCUCAUUGUGGUGCUGGUCCCACUCCAGGUUAUCUAUCUGUUGCUCAUCUCAGCUGUUGUCCCUACCUCCAAUUUCAAGUCCCUCAACAGAUACAACAGAUCAACUUCUAGAAUGAACCUUUGAGAAGGGACGUAGCAGUGCGUUCUAUGGAAAUUGGCAUUCUAUAGAAAACCAUAGAAACUGGAAAUCAUGAAGGGUUUUCUCUUGGUUUUAAAAUAUUGUAUACACCCAAAUCAUCCCCUCAUGAUACUCAUCCUCUAACAGCAAUUGAACUUCAAUACAAUGCGUCAUUCCUGAGUCCACUCGCUUCACAUUACAUUUCUCUAUAACCACAAGCAUCCUGGCUUGGGAGCGCUCCCACAGCACCAGAAAUCCCUGAGGAGGCUGACAAACAUUCUGCUGACUCAUGCUGGGGACAAGCCACAGACAACUUCCAUCACCCACCACAUCAGCCAUGGAGCCAGCCCAGCCUCUGCCCACCCAGGCCUCAGUCCUCAAUGUUAAGUUCUGAUCCCUGAUGCUGGCCUACCAGCGGCCAGUCAAGAUUCUCUUUCUGAAAGCUAAUAUUUUAUGAGGACUAACUGUUGCUAGACAUUACUCUAAGCAUAUUACAUGUUGUACUUCAUUUUACCCUUCCAACAAUCCUAUUAGUAGCUUACUGUGGGUCUGCAAAGCCUUACUCAAAACAUAUAGGACUAGAGGUUCUCAGGAUUCUGAAUUCUUUUUAAUUUUUUUAAAGGCUUAUGGCUCUCACCACUUUUAUUCAACGUUGUAUUAAAGAUUCUACCCAGAGAAGGCAAUAAAAGGAAAUUAAAGCUAUACAGAUUGGACGUGAAGAAAUAAAAGACUUUAUUCUCAAGAAUAUAAGACACUAUAUAUAGAAAUUGUAAGGAAUGAAAAAAACCCUACAAGAACUUAUAACAAGUUUAGCAAGAUUGCAAUAUACAAAGUUAAUAUACAAAACUAACAGAAUUGUAUUUAUAUAUAGUCAAUAAGCAAUUCAAAAUGAAAUUAAGACCAUGAUUCCAUUUAAAAUUGCAUCUAAAAAUAAACAAAAUAGGAAUAGACUUGGCAACAGAAGUGUAACAUCUGUAUACUGAAACCCGUAAAACACUGCUGAAAGAAGUUAAAUAUUUAAAUAGUGAAAUAUACAAAGUUCAUGGAUUAGACGACGCAAUAUUGUUAAGAUGGUAGUUCUCAAAUUGAUGUAUAGAUUCAAUGCAAUCCAUUAAAAUCUCAGGUGGCUUUUUUGUAGAAUUUGAAAAGCUGAUGCUAAAUUUUUUAUGAAAAUGCAAAGAACCUCUAGUAGACAAAAUAAUUUUUUUUAAGAGCAAAGUUGCAGGAUUUAUAGAACCUGAUUCCAAAACUGUCUAUAAAACUACAAUAAUCACAAAGUAUCAGCCAGGCACCGUGGCUCACACCUGUAAUCCCAGCUCUUUGGGAGGCUGAGGUGGGUGAAUCACUUGAGGUCAGGAGUUUAAGACCAGCCUGGCCAACUUGGUGAAACCUCAUCUCUACUAGAAAUACAAAAAACUAGCCAGGCAUGGUGGCAUGCACCUGUAAACUCCAUUACUCAGGAGGCUGAAGCAGGAGAAUAGCUUGAACCUAGGAGAGUCCAUCUCAAAAACAACAACAACAACAACAAAAGUAUUAUAUUGGCAAAAGAACAGACAUGUAAAUCAAAUAACAGAAUAGAGAAUUCAGGUGUAAAUCUUCAUAUUUAUGGCCCAUUGACUUUGAACAAAGCUGCCGAGGCAAUUCAGUAUAGUAGCAUAUUCUUUUCAACAAAUGGUGCUGGCAGAAGGGAAAACAAAAGCACGAGGAUCCUUACCUCACACCAUGCACAAACAUUAGCUAAACAUGGACUAAGUCAGGGUUUCUCAACCUCAACACUGUUGGCGUUUGUGGGGGUGGAUAAUUCUUUGCUGUGGAGAGCUGUCCUGUGCACUGUAGGAUGUUUAGCUGUAUCCUGGCCUCUGCCUAUUAGAUGCCAGUGGCACCCCUCCCCCGACACAUACCCGGUUGUGACAAUCUACGUCUCUAGAUAUUCCUAAAUGUGCCCCGGAGAGCAAAACUGUUUCCAGUCGAGAAUCAUUGACCUAAUGUAAAAAAUAAAAUGUACAGAAGAAAGCACAGCAGGAAAUCAUUCUGACCUUAGGUUAGGCAAAGAUUUCUUAGAUAUCACACUAAAGGCACAAUUCAUUAAAAAAAUAAGUUGGACUUCGUCAAAAUUUUAAGUUUUGCUCUUCUGAAGAAACCAUAAAAAACAAUGAAAAGACAAGCCACAGACUAUGAAAAAAUACUUGCAAACCAUAUAUCUAAUAAAGGACUUGUACCCACACCAUGUAAAGAAUUCAUAACUCAUUAAUAAAAGGAUAAAGAGAAAGCUGAAGACAAUUCACGCAAGAAGAUAUACAAAUAAGCACAUUAAAAUGGCCAAUAUUAUUAGUCACUAGGGAAAUACAAAUUAAAGGCACAAUGAAAUACCUAUUACACACCCACUAGAAUGACUGCAAACAAUAAGACUGAUAAUUCCAAAAUCUGACCAGGAUAUGGAGAAACUACGAUAUGUAGUUUCCUACAUUGCUGGCAUGACUGCAAAAUGAUACAGCCACUUUGAAACACCAUUUGGCAGUUGCUUAAAAAAGUGAACAUUCAAUUACCAUAUGACCCAGCAAUUUCACUCUUAGGUAUGUAACCAAAAUACAUGAAAACAUGGAUCUGCACAAGGUCUUAUAUACAAACGUUCAUAGCAACAUUAUUCAUAAUAACCAGAAAUUAGCCCAUCACCUGAAAAGUAGACAAACAAAAUGUAUACCCACAUCAUGGAAUGCUACUCAGCACACUUCUAAAAAGCAACAGACUACUAACACGUGCAACAACAUGAAUGAACCUCAGAAACACAAGUGAAAGAAGUCAGACACAAAAGACUACAGAUUGUAUGAUUCCAUUUAGAUACCAUUUCUACAAACCGUAAAACUGUAGAGGCACGAAACAGAUUCAUGGUCUCCUGCAGCUGGGGAUGGGAGUGGGAAGAGGGAGCAAACAUUCUGGGAUGAUGGAAACAUUCUAAAACUGGAUUGUGAUUUUGGUUACACAACUGUAUACAUUUGCUAAAAUCACUGAACAGUACACUUUUAAUGGGUAAGCUUUAAGGCAUGUGAAUUAUACAUCAAUAAAGCUAUUUUUUAAAAAAAAGAGAGAGAGCGAGAGCUACAUGGCAGCCCCAGGGCAGUAGCUCUCAGAUCUCCCUUAGAGAAAGAACUAUCUCUUCCACAGCGAUGAGUGCAGGUAGCUAACACUCUCCAACCUGCAUCUGGUAGUUCAUUUAAGAUCAACCUCAGCUUUCAAGUUAACGCCAUGCUCUUUCUUGGCAGUCCCCAGCUAAGAAGUGGGCACAGAAAGGCAGAGGGGCCUGGCUGAUUCAGCCCAACAUGAGGCUCCUCACCCUAGAACUCCCUGUGGAGUUAGCCGAGCCCACAUGUGACCUGUAAUGUGGUCUAAGCUGUCAGACCUCCACAGUGGCGGGAAGGUUUUCCAUAUCUCAGCCUGCUUCUACUCCCUUUUAUUUUUCCCAGGAGUCACCCUUGGUCAUCUCUUACUCUUUGAACUCCAUGUCAGUGUCAGCUACCCAGAGGACCCAUCAGACAGAAAGUAAUACGCAGAUAACAGCCCAGGGGAAUCUGAGCAGCACCCUGAAACCAGCGUUUCCUCAGUGAAACCUAGAACAAAAGUGGAAUAAAUAAAAACUACUAACAGUCUCAUUUCGGCACUGGCAGUCUCACUCUGGAAUCUGUUCAUGCUCCCCAGGCCUAUACGACAAGCUCGUUCAGCCAUAACAGGGCAACUGUGAGGCUGUUGGAUGGGAUGAUGUUGGAAGUAAAUGCUCGGUGCCACCAACUGAAAUUAGCACUCAGGCAAAAGUUUUCUCAGCAAGGCAAUUUACCUUUAUAGAAGUGUGCAUCUCACAGAUGGAACAAUGGCAAGAGCACACUGGACAAGGGAGGGGAAGGGGGCCUUAUUCCUAACACAGCUAGCCCUACUGCUAUAUCUUUCCCCUAUUUACUAGGGUUGGACUGCACAGUCUACGCUAAUUCCGAUUGGCUAUUUUAAAGAGAGCAGGGGUGCGAGCCAGAGUGGCAGGACGGUUACAGAACAGGAGACUAAGGAUGACUAAGGACAGAACAGGUGACUAAGGAUGACUAAGGACAGAACAGGUGACUAAGGAUGACUAAGGACAGAGCAGGUGACUAAGCACAGAAUAGGUAACUAAGGAUGACUAAGGACAGAGCAGGUGACUAAGGACAGAACAGGUGAUUAAGGAUAGAGCAGGUGACUAAGGAUGACUAAGGACAGAGCAGGUGACUAAGGACAGAACAGGUGACUAAGGAUGACUAAGGACAGAACAGGUUACUAAGGAUGACUAAGGACAGAACAGGUGACCAAGGACAGAGCAGGUGACUAACGACCAAACAGGUGACUAAGGGUGACUAAGGACACAACAGGUGACUAUGGAUGACUAAGGACAGAACAGGUGACUAAGGACAGAGCAGAUGACUAAGGUUGACUAAGGAUAGAGUAGGUGACUAAGGACAGAGCAGGUGACUAACAAUGACUAAGGAUAGAACAGGUGACUAAAGGUGACUAAGGACAGAGCAGGUGACUAAGAAUGACUAAGACCAGAGCAGGUGACUAAAGACAAAACAGGUGACUAAGGACAGAGCAGAUGACUAAGGAUGACUAAGGACAGAGCAGGUGACUAUGGAUGACUAAGGACAGAGCAGGUGACUAUGGAUGACUAGGCACAGAACAGGUGACUAAGGACAGAACAGGUGACUAAGGACAGAGCAGGUGAUAGAGGCUAGGAGGGAGUUGUUUACUGAAACUAGGGGCAAACAGACGUAAAGAACGAGAAAGUUAAACUUUAAAGUGGAGAACAAAGAACAGCCGAACAUCCUGACACAUUGGUUCUUUGGAGAGGAACUCAGAGAACUCAUUGUACUUAACAAUUUUCUCCCUCUUAAAUUUUAAAAGACAUGAACAGGCUAAACUUUGAAGAGGAAUUUACUGCAUCCUACAGAUGACAAUUAAUGAUCAAUCUUGCAAUGUUUACUGAGGUCACUAUCCUCAGUGCUAUAUGUGUUCUGUGUCCCAUUGACUUCAGGGUAACUACAUGGUCCUUAAACUUAGAAUCAAAGUAUUUCCAUGAGACCUUCCUUAAUAGACAUUUGUUCUCAGCCUUCUUUCAAUAGCAACAUCCUUUGUUCAAAUGAGGAUGCACAAAGAAAUACAAUAGGUAAAAACAUGGUAUCAGGACUGCUCUCAUUAAGCUGGCGUGGGAGGUGGUCACACGAGGGUUUCAGAUCCUCACCCAAGGAUCUCAUCUUUCUCUGUACAAGGGUAAGCUGCACAGUGCCUUUGUAGAUACUUCUGAGAUUGCCUGAAACCUGCUGGUCUGGCUCAGUCUCUCCUAUCACUGACAAAGAAGCCGAGACCUCGAAAGUCAUGCCACCCAUGAGCAGUAACUCAUGCAAAGAAUCGCAAUACCAGAACUCCUGACCCACAAGGCUUCCUCUCUGUGCACCCAAGAUGUCCCAAACCGAAAUGGUCUAUGCACGAUGGAGAACUUUGAUCAAACUCGGAAAACGUCUUCGAAAGUGAAACGCAGCACAUUGCAGAGAUGUCACAAAUGAGACUUCCUUUGACGGUCCCUGAGAGCGUCUUUGUGUUCCUUAUAGCUGCUCCCAUUAUUUUGGGCAGACAUUGGCACAGUCUUUGAUGAAACAUUUUUCACCUUGAAUUACAGUAAAUGUUAUCUCAUGUUUUUGGAAAUGCCAUCUAAGGACUUAAGAGAUAUCAUUGCUAGAUAAUUGUUUAUAAUCAUGCCCCUUAUAAUUUCAUUUGAAGAUUAUAUGAGAAAAAUCUAAGCAUACCAAUUUAAUAAAGGAUUUGGACAAAUGCAUCUCAAACUUUAA